GGGGGUGUGUUGGAAUGGUAGACAUAACAGACUUAAAAUCUGUUGAUUUUCAUAAAUCGUGAGGGUUCAAGUCCCUCCACCCCUA
Molecule: transfer RNA, 85 nt
Organism: Galdieria sulphuraria
Lineage: Eukaryota; Rhodophyta; Bangiophyceae; Galdieriales; Galdieriaceae
Rfam family: tRNA
About the family: Transfer RNA (tRNA) molecules are approximately 80 nucleotides in length. Their secondary structure includes four short double-helical elements and three loops (D, anti-codon, and T loops).
Source: Rfam